Molecule: ribosomal RNA, 429 nt
Filed under: Bacteroidota bacterium
Lineage: Bacteria; Pseudomonadati; Bacteroidota
Description: Bacteroidetes bacterium partial 16S ribosomal RNA
Rfam family: Bacterial small subunit ribosomal RNA
Source: RNAcentral
UAGGGAAUCUUCGGCAAUGGGGGGAACCCUGACCGAGCAACGCCGCGUGAGUGAAGAAGGUUUUCGGAUCGUAAAGCUCUGUUGUUAAGGAAGAACGAGUGUGAGAAUGGAAAGUUCAUGCUGUGACGGUACUUAACCAGAAAGGGACGGCUAACUACGUGCCAGCAGCCGCGGUAAUACGUAGGUCCCGAGCGUUGUCCGGAUUUAUUGGGCGUAAAGCGAGCGCAGGCGGUUAGAAAAGUCUGAAGUGAAAGGCAGUGGCUCAACCAUUGUAGGCUUUGGAAACUGUUUAACUUGAGUGCAGAAGGGGAGAGUGGAAUUCCAUGUGUAGCGGUGACAUGCGUAGAUAUAUGGAGGAACACCGGUGGCGAAAGCGGCUCUCUGGUCUGUAACUGACGCUGAGGCUCGAAAGCGUGGGGAGCGAACAGG